Molecule: long non-coding RNA, 2222 nt
Filed under: Felis catus (domestic cat)
Lineage: Eukaryota; Metazoa; Chordata; Mammalia; Carnivora; Felidae
Description: lncRNA (ENSFCAG00000042399.2)
Source: RNAcentral
GUGCCUUAGUCGGUUAAGUGUCCGACUUGGCUCAGGUCAUGAUCUCACGGUUCAUGGGUUCAAGCCCCGCAUGGGCUCUGUGAUGACAGCUCAGAGCCUGGAACCUGCUUCAGAUUCUGUGUCUCCCUCUCUCUCUGCCCCUCCCCUGUUCACACUGUCUCUCUCUGUCUCUCAAAAAUAAAUAAAGGUAAAAAAAAAUUUUUUUAACAACAUGUCCUGCAACUGUUUAUACAAUACCUCGUUCCAGGGAGGUACAUGGCUAAUCAGGACACCUAUUUCCUACUGUCAUACUUAAUUGGAAGUUUUGCUCACGAGGUUAAAUUACAGCAAGCAUUGUGUGUCACUGUGAAAAUAUUCCCUUUCGCUUUAAUGGCACAUGGGUGGACGAAAAUGCUUCUAAGGCUGCCUGAAGGGACACUGGGCUCCUGUGGGUUCUUGCUGUCUUCCGCCAAUACUUUUUCAUUUUCCCUUAACAACGGCAGUAGUAAUAACAUUGGUCCAGGAAGUUAAGAAGUUAGUAGAGAAGAAUAAAGACCAAGCAUCUGAUAUUCACAACCUGACGCAACAGAAGAAUAUAAAUAUACACAAAUUAAUUUAAGCCCAUAGAAAAUCUCUCAAACGGUGUAGCCUACAGCACAUCUCCCCUUGUCCACAACAUUCCAUCAGGCCAGCGGAACAUCAUCAGCAUCAUUAUAGCUUGUAUAUACUGAGUGCUAACCCUGUGCCAGGCAUUGUGCCAAGGGUUGUCAUGACAACUCAACCCCGUAAGAAGAGUGCCAUCAUAAUUUCCAUUGUCAAAGGAACGGGAUGCACAUCUAGGACGCCUAACCUCAAGCCCAAGCUCAAGAGCACAGUGGGAGGAUUGAGGCUUGGAUGGAGAUGGAAUGCAUCGUUUUCAAUAUACUGUCUCAUUGCCAUCAUACUGUCUUCUAAGCCCUCCAUUACCUGCCCUCUGCUCGAGGGUAGAGACCAAAAGUGUGUGUUCGUACCACCAGCGUUCUGCAAAGCAGUUACGCACGAACAGAAAGUCCCGCGGACGCUCCAUGAUGAGUGGCACCUAAGCUGUCCGGUUCUUCGGGUUUUCCCAGCGCAGAGCCCGGUACUAGAAACUCCCAAGGGACUUACCUGCCUUGUGCAACGGAAUUCCCCGCACGCCCAGAGCCCAGCAGAGAGGAGGCACUCCAUACACGCCUUCCAACCACCAACUGCUGAAGGAGGCUCAGGUUAAGUCAUUCUCUUCAGGCUCCAGGACAAGCGGGCCCGGUUUGUAGGUUACAGCCUUAUCUGGGGACCCUCGUUUUCCACCCCAGCUACACGUCUGUGAACAAUCGCCUCUCUCCGGCCCCUGAAAGGAGAGCGAGCGCCCCAUUUCUGCUGAAUGCACACGUCUCAGUUCAUCCAAGGCUGGCGGGCUUUUGAUGGCCACAAUGCGAGUUACGCCCAAAGAGUGUCUCUUUGGUCAGAUCGACAACGCUUGGCUUCACGUUUGCAAGUUAAACGGGCAGAAACCCGGCUGAAACUCCCACGCCAGACGCCGGGGACGCUUCCCUCCGCCCAGUUCAGAGCGGCACUGGGGACUGGGUCUGGGCAGGGGGAAGAAGGGAGGGAGCGGGAGUUGUCAGGGGGCGGCGCGGGAAAACAGUCCUGAUUCUAAGCCGCCAUCUAGAAGAAAGGGGGGGGGGGCAGGGCCAUUUUCUCUAGUAUAUCCCUCUUGUUUUUAUUUUUAUUUUUUUCAGUUUGCUUUGUCGGCAGCUUUACCCCAACAAACAAACAAAAAAUGAGAGCGUUUUUCUGCUUGUCUUCACCUAGGUAGCUGCUUUCUUCCAGGCCCUGAAAAUGUGACUCCUUCAUAAAAUCAAAAUUUAUGAUUAUUCAAAUGUUGGGGACUGUGAAAAGAGAGGAAGAAAGAGAGAAAAUUAAUAUUGCAGCUGUUCUUCUGAUUAAUGAGAGAUAAUUGCUCAUGAAAAGUCACCCCUGUGGCAUUUUGUUGUCUCCUGGAUCUUUGUUCUUUUCCACUAUUAUUGAGGACUUUCUUGAAGACUAAGCGGUUCUUUUCAAUUUUUGGGUAUUCAGAAAGGGUUGCCUGGUUACAGAGAAUGGGGAAAUCUCGGGCUAUAUCGGGUAAGAUGUGCCACAGACAGCAAUAUCACAAUGCCACUCGGAGAAAAGGAUGGAUACAAGUUAACGAUGCGCUUUCAAUAAAACAUUCAUAGACUUGUUCA